AAGAAAAGGGGGAGGACUUCUCUGGAUAACUCCUUGACCUUCUCUUGUUUUAUUUCGGGACUCGAUCUUCUCGACCCUGGGGAGAUUUCUCUCUCUCGACUAGGUCUCGAGGGCUGGAGGGGUGAAUAUUGUUUUCCCUCUUGCUCUCCCUUUCAACCAGUACUUUCCAUGCUUGACGAGUCAGCUUUCGAAGUUGACCGGAAUUUUGUUUUGGUUCCAAAACGAAUCGAGGCCGGACAAUUGUACAGUUCUUCCUCCUGACGACUCCGGCUAAUGCCACAGUUGGUAUACUAUGAGAAGAGUCGCUAGAGAGACAGAGCACUCCAGGUCCAGCUCUGGACUCACCGACAGGACGAGAGAGGACUGAAGAAAAGUUUCAGUGGCUGUACGUGUUCAUGGUUAGAGAGCGAAUUAACAGGUGUUACAUGCAGAUAUCGUGUUUUUUGUUGUUCAUAUUGCUCAAUCCAUAAACUUUGUUAAUGCCUCAUUCAAAUCCGGGGAUCCCAGUAACUAUAUCAACUAUGAAUACACUGGAAGGCCAACUUGUCUCUUCUAUGCAAAGGAAACUAUAUAUGAGCUUACCUCAAGGUGCUUCAAAGCAUCAUUUCAAGCUUGGUGAGUAGCUUGAUGAGCAGCUUGUGUUUCUUAGACAAUUGAAUGGAUUACUCAAAGCACCCCUAGUGUAGGAAGUAAUUGCAAAAGAUCUUCAUGAUAAUGAAUGGAAAUGCCGACAUAUUUUCAGGUUCUCGUUUUGACAAUGACAAAUCAAUGGAGUUCUUGCAGCUUGGUACAUGAUCAAGCUGCCUACCCAAGUACUCAAGGAAAUCCUGGGGAGGCUGACCCAAAUAACACAACAGUAAGUAAUUUUUGUGAGCAUUGUCGGUGAUGAAUGGCGAGCGGUGGGAUCAU
Fragaria vesca subsp. vesca is the source of this 909-nucleotide RNA transcript. RefSeq lists it as uncharacterized. The transcript has 6 exons. Lineage: Eukaryota; Viridiplantae; Streptophyta; Magnoliopsida; Rosales; Rosaceae. The record is from RefSeq and is a predicted model, not a curated record.